AGUGCAAACUGUGAGCGAAACAUUCCAACUGCGGUGGCGUGGCCCGAAGUGUGGAAGAAGGGUGCGUGGUUAUAUGCAGGCAGGUCAGCUGACAUGGUUCCGAGUUGCCAGCAGUGUGGAUGACUAUCAAUUAGGUUUGUCGGCGCGGCAUCUGGUGGAUCCCGGCCGCUUUUUGUAGAAAAAGGCUCGCUGCUUGAGAACUGGUUGUGGCAGCAGCAUUCGCUCAGCCGAGGCCCAGCCAGAGGUGCCGGUGACGUGGAACAGGACUGGCCAAGCAGCGCCGUGAACAGGACCUGUACGAGUGCAAACUGCCUACUCUCUGGUCCUCUCAGCGAACUCUUCACCACAGUUCCCGUGCUGGUUGGGGGAUCUGUGCUUGCAGCAGCCGGCAUCAUAGCGUCUUCAUUUGCCCCGGAUAUUACAUGGCUCACUGUCACGCUAGGAGCAAUGCAUGGUCUGGGCCUUGGCAUGGUGACAACCAUGCUGCAAGUACUCAUCAGCAUGUACUUCCAGCGGUACCGUGGUGCCGCCAACGGUAUCAUGUUCGCCGGCUCCACAGCCUCGGCGUUCAUCUUCCCCCAUCUGUUGCUGUACCUUAAAGGCACCUACGGCUUCUGAGGCAGCCUGCUGCUAUUUGGUGCCGUUCUGAUGAACAUGGUCGCCUUGAGCCUCGCCUUCCAGGAGCCACAUUGGGUUAGGAGGGACAGAAUCAAGAGCAGAAAGGGCUUAAAGGGGACAAGGAGGCCGUCAAUAUUCACAACGGGCUUAGAGCAAGGGACAAAAAGGGCGCCCGCCACCGCGGCAGUGCUAAGGAAUAUUCGCGGAGUGCUCAAGUGCGCCAUGAUGUACGUUCUCGUGAUCACGUCACUAGCGUUCAGCUACAACUACGACAUUUUCUGCUCCACGAUCGUCGACUUCGCCAUGGACUAGGGGAUGCCCCUAGAGGACACCGUGUCUUUCAUAACCUACACGUCUAUCACUGAUCUCGUGGGAAGGGUUGUCUUUCCUACCUUCACCGACCGUGGGCUCUUGCAGCGAUCCACGUUAAUGAUAUUGAAUUACUUUCUUCUGGGCUUGUGCAUUAUAUCACUGCCAUUCUGCAAGUGCUACUGGGUCCUGCUAGUGGCGUGUCUAGGUGCGGCCUUAUUUCUCGGUUGUGCCAUUACCAUGCAGAGCGUUCUGAUGGCACAGUAUUUGGGAAUCGAGAAACUUGCUGCAGGGUAUACCGUCCUCGGCGGCCUAUGUGGACCAGCGCUCUUAGCAAAGGCCCCUUUCGUAGGUGAUUGUCGUUUUCUCAUUUAUUGCUGCUUGCAUGCACAGUGCAUAAGUGGUGCCGUUUAGAGAAGUGAGAGCGACAAAAAUGUAAGAAGAUUGGUGAGUUUGGAUUGGUGGUAAUAAAAUAGAUAAGCUUGUCCUGGCGUGCAGAAGAACAAAUAACAGUGGAAUGGAAGCUUGAGAAAGG
Dermacentor albipictus is the source of this 1462-nucleotide non-coding RNA. The record is from RefSeq and is a predicted model, not a curated record. Lineage: Eukaryota; Metazoa; Arthropoda; Arachnida; Ixodida; Ixodidae.